ACAGAGGCGCGGGCAACAUGAGUAAGCGCGGUGUAACGGGCCGGCCAGGCCGCCGCAUGAAAGGGUUGUCUGCCGAAGGCAAUGUACGGCACGCAUUGCCUGGGCCCGCUGCCGAACAGGGACGGGACUGUCACAUCGUUUGCGGUGUGUUGCGCUGUGU
RNAcentral lists this non-coding RNA (160 nucleotides) under uncultured Gemmiger sp. RNAcentral's name for it is "Lysine riboswitch". It matches the Rfam family "Lysine riboswitch aptamer". From Rfam's summary of the family: Riboswitches are metabolite binding domains within certain messenger RNAs that serve as precision sensors for their corresponding targets. Allosteric rearrangement of mRNA structure is mediated by ligand binding, and this results in modulation of gene expression. The record is from RNAcentral. Lineage: Bacteria; Bacillati; Bacillota; Clostridia; Eubacteriales; Oscillospiraceae.